AUCCUCCCAGCUAAAGCCCAAGAAUUCCUGAUGAAGUAUCCAGUGGUCCUGAUCCAUGGGUUGUGCCUAGCUAAUUUAAAAAGAAAAGGAGGGUCACCUGUGUGGCUCAGUCAGUUGAGCAUCUGACUCUAGAUUUCGGUUCAGGUUAUGAUCCCAGAGUCCUGGGAUCGAGCCUUGCGUCGAGCCUUGUGAUAGGCCCCGCGGUGAGUAUGGAGCCUGCUUAAAAUUGUCUCUCCCUCCCUCUGCCCCUCUCCCCCACUUACAUCUGCUCUCUCUAUAAAUAAAUAAAAAAAUAAAUGGAAGAAGUAAAAAUUAAAAGAGAAAAAAGGCAGUAUGCAAUAAUAAAUUAUUUCAGUAACUGAAAGAGGCAUCUGAAUGAAGUCCUCAUUAAUAUAUGAUUUUUUAACGUAUUGAAAAUGAAAAUGUCAUCUUUCUGUAAGAGACUAGUUCAGUGGUGGUAGAGUACCAGGCCCUAUAGGAGUCAAAGUAUAUAUUUGGUGCCAGUGAAAGCAAGGAAUUGAGAACAGCAGCUGUGUGGCUCUUGGGCCAGCUGACCCUGGGAGGGGAGCAGAAGCCAAAAUGAGCUAAAUAUGUAUGAAUGCACACAGGCUCAGGCUGAGUCCUGAGGUGGGAACGGCAUGGCAAAGGCAAGUCUAGCCAUUAUGGAUGAACUGAGUCUAAGAUCUGGAGGCAGGUCAGCAAAGACAGUGAAACUAGGCACUACAAACCCAAGGAUAUGGUUGGCUUCAUGACUCAUUUGUGUUUUGUUUCCAUUUCAAAUCAUUUUUAUUUUUGUACAUUGAAUACUUGGUUUAUAUUCUAAAUAUAUUAGGAUCAGAUUUAUAUAGUGCUAUUCACAUAGGUUUUAUUCUUUUCUGUUAUACAAUUCCUUUUUCCAAAAAUCUGUGAUUUGAUAAAAGUUCAAUAAGCAAACACAUUUUAGCACAUGGGAGUAAAUAUAUCCUUAUAACAUCCCUUGAAGUUUGAUUGGAUGAAACUUAUGAUUAAACUAUGACAGUGGGGGGCAGGGCCCUGGGUGGCUCAGUCAGUUGAGCAUCCAAGUCUUAAUUUGGCUUAGGUCAUGAUCUCAUGCUUUGUUUGUGAGAUUGAGCCCCUGGUAUGGGCUGUGUGCUGACAGCCUGGAGCCUGCUUGGGAUUCUCUCUCCCUCUCUCUCUGUCCCUCCCUGGCUCACACACAUUCGCACAUGGGCACACACUCUCUGUCUCUUGAAAGAAAGAAAGAGAAAGAAAGAAAGAGAGAGAAAGAAAGAGAAAGAAAGAAAAGAAAGAAAGAAAGAAAGAAAGAAAGAAAGAAAGAAAGGAGGAAGGAAGGAAGGAAGGGAGGAAGGAAGGAAGGAAGAAAGAAAAAAAGAAAGAAAUAUUAAAAAAAUACGACAGUGGAAAUGUAUGCCGUAAUCAAAAGAAAAAAUAUUGAAGAAUGGGUGGAGAACCUGCUUUCUCAUUGACCUCAAGGGUGUGCUGGUUUUGUGGGGGCAAGACAGGAUGUGAAAGAUCACCUUUCAUGUUCUGGACAGGCAUGAGAGAGAAGUGGCAGUGGAGAGCUUUGAGGCAACAGUAGGCUCACCAUACAGCUUGCCAACCUCGCCCAAGGGGAGAAUCCCAUGGGGAAAGGCUGGACAGGCUGGCGCUGACUCAGGAAUUCCCUCCCACAAGGAGAUGAACUGAUGGGGAAGAAGGCAUUUGGAGCAGUCCAGGGCUGCUACAGCUGCUUACUAGUGCGCUCCAGAUCCAGGUACCUUGGACCUAUCUUUCCUUCUGUUCUCCUCAGGUGGCUUUCAUCCUCUGAGCUGCAAGGUCUGAUGCCUGUGUCCUGGGCAGGUUGGAAGCAGACAAGCCAAGGGCCUGCUCUCUUGGGGUGUUGCUUUUUUAUUCAGGGAGAGAAUGCAUUCUCUGCAGUCUUUUUUUGGAUGUAUCGUCGUGCAGAAUUAUGUCACAUGGCCACGUCUAGCUGGAUUGAAACUAGAAAGAUGUAUUUUACCUUUCCAGCUCUGAAAAAGGAAUAUAUGGCAGAGGGAGUCACUGGAUCACUUUCUGGUAGUCAAUAUACAGUGUUCAUUUCUAAGGUUACACAGGUGCCAAAAGUGAACAAUGAAUAUGAAAAGCAAGGAGAAGCCAAGAAGUUAAAAUGUUGGUAACAGAACAAAACCAAGUAUUAGGUCAAUGUAACAAUUAACCUUUGGUGUGUAUAUACUACUGGUGAGGUUUAAAAAUCUUGACAUAUAGUGUGAAAACAAUUACAUAUGCACAUAGUUUAAAGAUUCAGAUAAUUCUACAAGACUUAGUAGAAAAACAAAAGAAAACCCAGCAAUCCCCAUUACCUACAAUUGUCUCUUUCUAGAGGAAGUCAUUUUAAACUGAGAAUUUUCUUUCCUUGCAUUUCUAGUUCCAGUUUCAUCUUUCCACUGGCUCUCCAUCUCUUCAUUGAAGUCUUACCUAAGUAUCUUCCUUAGGCUGUGGUAAUUUAGGACACAAUUCUUGGUCAUAAUUUUCGUUUUCUCUGUGAUGAUAUUUUUCUGGUGAGUUUUAUUAGCUAUUUUUCUGUUUAAGUUUUUUCCUCUUUUUUUUUUAAAGUUUAUUUAUUUUGAGAGAAAGAGAGGGACAGAGAGUGUGCACAUGAGUGGGGGAGGGGCAGAGAGAGAGAAUCCCAAGCAGGCUCCGUGCUGUCAGUGCAGAGCCUCAUGUGGGGCUUGAACCCACAAACCGUGAGAUCAUGACCUGAACCAAGAUCAAGAGUGAGAUGUUUAACUGACUGAACCACCUAGGUGUCCCUUAGUUUUUUCUUUUAAACUGAUUUUUUUGUUUCUUCGUAUAAAUCUUGUUUUGGUACAAAAAUAUUUUCAUUAUGGAAAAUUUUGAACAUAUACAGAAGUAGAGAGAAGAGUAAAAUGAAUCCCCAUAUACUCAUCAUUCAGCUUCAACAGUCAUUAACUCACAGCCGUAUAAUUCCAUCUUUGCCCCACCUGCUUAUCCCUUCCUGUAUUGUUACUUUUUGUAGUAAAAUAUACAUAACAUAAAAUUUACCAUUUUAACCAUUUUUAAGCAUAAUGUUCUUUGUCAUUAAGCACAUUAGCAUUGUUGUGUAACCACCACUACCAUCCAUCUCCAGAACUUUUUCAUCUUCCCACACUGAAUCUCCCUACUCGUUAAACAAUAACUCUCCUUUCCUCCCUCUCCUCAGCCCUUGGCAACCACCAGUGGAAGGUACUCUCUAUCCCCAUAAGCUUGACUAUUCUAGGUACCUCAUAUAAAUGAACUCAUACAACAUUUGUCCUUUCAUAACUUGCUUAUUUCCCUUAGUUAGCAUAUUUUCAAGGUCCCAACCUGAGCAUGAAUUUCCUUCCUUUUUAAGACUGAAUAAUAUCCCAUCGUAAGGAUACAUCACAUUUUAUUAUUCAUCCAUUCAUCAAGGACACUUGGGUUGCUUUCUUUUGGCUAUUGUGAAGAAUUCUACUAUGAACAAGGGUGUACAAAUAUCUGUUUGAGUCCCUACCUUCAACUCUUUUAGGCAUAUGCUCGGAAAUGGAUUAUUGGAUCAUAUGGUAAUUCUAUGUUUAUUUUUUUUAGGAGCUGCCAUACCAUGUUUCACAGUGGCUGCACCAUUUACACUCCUACCAACAAUGCACAAUGCACCUUUCAACAAAGGUUUCUACACCCCUUUCUAAUACUUGUUAUUUUCUGUUUUGUUUGUUUUUGUUUUUAUAAUUUUUUAAAAUGUUGAUUUAUUUUUGAGAGAGAGAGGGACAGAGUACGAGCUGGGGAGGGGCAGAGAGAGAGAGGGAGACACAGAAUCUGAAGUUGUGCUGACAGCUCAGAGCCCAAUGCAGGGCUCAAACUCAUGAACCAAGAGAUCAUGAGCUGAGCUGAAGUCAGACACUUAACUGACUGAGCCAUCCAGACGCCCCAUGUUUUUGUUUUUAUAAUAGCCAUCUUAUAGGUCUGAAUUGGUUCCUGUGUUAUUUAUGAAGCAAAUCCCAGAUGUAAUAUUUCACCCACAAAUAUUCAGUAUGUAUUUCCAAAAGAUAAACACCCUUUUAGAAAAUAGAACUCAAAAAAAGAAAAUAGAACCCCAAUGUAAAUAAUUAAUAAAAUUUUUAAAAUAUCAUCCAUUAUCUUGUCAGUAUUCACAAUUUCAACCACCCAGAAACGUAAUAACUUCUUUUUUAGGUUUUUGGUUUGUAAUGGAACCAAAUUUUUCAUAAUAUAUUGCUAUUAGUUGUCUUUUAAGUCCCUUUAAAUCCAUAGUUUCCAUUCUUUUAUUUUCCUUGCAAUUUAUUUGUUGAAGAAAUUAGAUUGUUUUAUAAAUUUUCCUGUGGUCUGAAUUUUGUUAAUACAUCCAUGUAGUAUUUAAUAUGAUCCCCUAUAUUUCCUUGCAAAUUGGUAGUCGAAUCUAGAGGCUUGAUCUGAUUCGCAUUCAAUUUUUUGGCAAGCCCACUUAGGUGGUAUGGGUUCUUCUACUGGGAGACAUACUAUCUGGAUGUCUCCUUUUGUGAUACUUAGUGGGCAUUUAUGAUCAUUGUUUAGGUCUGCAUGAUCUAUGGUGGUUGCUAUUAGUCACAUGUUGCUUUUUACAUUUAAAUUAGUUCAAAUUAAAUAACAUUAAAAUUCAGUUUUUCAGUUUUACUAGCCACAUGUCAAACGCUCAUAACCUCAUGUUGCUCAUGGCUACUGUGUUAGGGCAGAUGCAAAGCAUUUCUAUCAUUACAGAAAGUUCUCCUGGGCAGCACUGGUCUAGAUCUAUUAAUUCAUUAAGGGUGUGUUUCAGUGCUGCUCUAAUUCUCAUAUUCAUUUUACAUUUAUCAGCUCAAAAACUUGUAUAAGGAGAAAUGUCCCCAUAUCCACUAGUUACCCAGUGAUACAGUUUGUAUAGGAAAAGCGGAAUAAAGUUUAAUUCCUUCCCUUCAGUGAGGUCGAUUCUGUAAGUUAUAGAUCAAUAUACCAUGCUUGUAUCAACAUAAUUAUGUAAUUAUUGUUUACUGCAGACCCAACUAAUGAAUUACAGUUAUACUUCCCUUUUUAUUCAGUUUUCUUUUUCCUUGAGCAUCUAAUUUACUUUACCUUUUAUUGCAUUAUCUUACAAUAUUGUUGUUUCAAUUUUCUCCCCCAAUUUUCCAUCGUGUUAAUCUAUUCUAUUAAGAUCUCCCUUCCCCCUCUCCCCCCUUGAGAUCUUAUUCUUAGAAUUCUUCCUGUUGAAACUUCUUUCUUCAUUGCUGUUUGGGGUUAUAUAUACUUUUUCCUGAGUCUUACAACUUCCUUUGUCUUGGCUUUUUAAAAUUGGUUUGCUAAAUAUGUCUUCCUAAAGUAACUUCCUAAAAAGAGUUUGUGGAAGGCAAAGUUUCAGAGCCAUUCCAUUUCUGGAAAUAUUUUUAUUCUAUCUUCACUCUUGUUUGAUAUUUUGGUUGGACAUAGAAUUCUAAUUUUAAACUCUGUACUGUCAUAUAGAAAGUUAAAGAUAUGUCUCAUUAUUAUUAUCCCUAGUUAAUUUCAAUAUCAUUCCUUGUUUUCCAGUGGACAGGGAUUUUUUUUUUCUUUCUGUUCUUGGGUUUAAAUAUUCUCAGGGAAUAUUUUGGUGUUCUGUGCAGCAUUCUAUCGAUAUAGGCCUCAAAUAGAUGAUGUAUAUAAAUUGACAUUAAUUUCAUAUAUAAUAUUUCUGAAAUGCUACAAAUUUGAGUGUGUAAAAAUUGAACAAUAAACUCUAGGAUGUGGUGUGUGCUCUAAAUCAGCAACCAAUGUUUCUCCUAAAGCCAGUUUCACUGGUCUGAGAAUAAAGGGGUGGAAAUAAGAGUGGUUCCUCUAUUACCUCUAGUGAUCCACUACUGAAAUUUUUGCUUCCAAUUCCAGAGUAACAUUGGGCUCUGCUGGUGUAGAGGUCUCGGUUUCCAAGAGAGCACUUCUUCUAGUAGGGGGCUGCAAUGUUUCAGCUAAACUGGUGGUUGAGAUUGCUAUCCGGUCACUUGGGGCUCCUCAUGUCAGUGGAUCAAUAGCCAAAGAAGAGGUUACUCUAUCUAUUGGCAGGAGUGAGUGAAUGAUCCUGCUUGUCAAGGAGUUGCCACCACACACUGAAAGUUUGGAGUAUUUCUAGAAUGCAGAAGAUAUACUGGGGCAUCUCUUAGUUUUCCCAGGUCCCAUGAUUAAGAUCAAUAGAAAACAACAAUACGAUAUAGGAAGAACUGCUAAUGGCCCAGAUCCUUCAGGAAUGAAGAUUUGGGUCACCUCACCACACAAAGAACCAUGCAAAGAAGUUAGGUGCUUAUUGAGAGCAGAGAAAUGUGUAGUGGAAGAAGGUAGUUUAUAAAUACCAUCUACUUCCAUGUGACCAGUAGCAAAACUGAGGACUGUACCCUCAUUUCUCAAAGUGUAUUUGCACUUCCCUCUUGUUUUGCUAUAAAUACAUUUGUGUACAUAUUAACCAAAUAUUUUUUUCUCCCUGUCAUUCUUUUAUCAUAUGUGUUAAUAGUAGCUAUUAACUUAUACCUUGGUACUAUAUAGGAUCUCAAAGUGAGAAUGUGAUUCAGCUAGAUGAGGCAUGAACAAAGUCCAAAGAUGAUUAAAGGAACUUUGUAUCCCCUUUUGGAGAGAGGUGUAGGUUGUGUUUGGUUGUAUGAGGGAUAGUUGUCUCAUGCUAAGUGAAAGUAUGACUUUUCUAUUGUCUUUUUUUUUCUUUUUUUUUAAGUUAAUAGCGUUAAAAGGGAUAAGACACAGAUGUCAAGUUGAUGAGGCACAGACUUUGGUAGCUUUGUACUGUGGCAACUUAUCUAAGAUGGAGCUAAAUUUCUCAGAAUUCCCCUCCCUGUAUGGUUCUGAGUUGGAGUUGGUUGCAAGAGAUGUUCUGUGUGAACUUGGAAGCCAGUAGUGAAGCAGAAACCAUAUUGCUUACUCUCUGAAGGUGAGUGCAAGGUGUUAGGCAGGUGAGCCACUUGCUCUCAUUGUUACUGAUCUGCUAAAUCACUUUGUGGGUAUGGGGUGGCAAUGGGGCCUAUGUUUCUUCAGUUGUUAGAUCUCCUCCUUGAACUUUUCUGACUUCUGGGCUAAGUGCAUAUGCAGCUCUUGGUGAAAGAUGCCAGCUUCUCUUGCAGAUUACCCAUGACAGCACAGUUGGAGGUGCUAAGAGAGACCUGGGUUCCAGUUCUCCCUCAUGUUGCCUUGUUCUUGUCCACGUUUAGCUCUCCCCUCUGCCUCCCCGGCUGACUUAGAGCAACUUUAGGUUCAACACUAGACACAGAAGCAAUGGCUGCUCCACCAGCUGCCAUGAUUGCAUAGGAUCAGUCUCAUACUGGUUCUGCUUUCUCGUUGAACCACACCCUAAAGAUAGGUCAGGAGGGACACAGGAGCAGUGGGGAAUUCUUAUGCCAAAGGCCAUUCAGUUUUCAUGGGAGGAACACACAUAUUUUUUUAGUAUUAAAAUUCAUGAAUUUUAUUCAGAAGAGUUUCUAAGAUGUUCCCUUACUCGCUACUUAGUAACACAAUACCAUUUUAUUGUUUUCUUCCAAAAUGAAAAUGACAACUAUAUUUAUUAUGGAACAGUUGGUAGAUACAGGUAAUUACCAGGAUACAGAUAACAUUUUGGUGAAUAUCCUUCAACUCUGUCUUUAGUGCAUAUAUCUAUAAUAUAUAUGUAUACAUAAACACACUUUAUUUUUAUGAAAAUGGAAUCAUAUUUAGGUUCUGUUUUAUAAAACAGGUUCUCUAUCCACACAUCAGCAUAUCAUGAAUGUUUAUCUCUAGAUAAUCAGUCUCCAAUUCAAGAACUUAAUUUUUAAUUACUUUGCAGUGUUCUGUUGCAUGGAUAUACCAUAAUUUAUUUAAGCCAAUCCCUUAUUUUUAGCCUCAGAUUAUUUUCAAUUUUUCUUCAUUGAUUAAAAAAAACCUCUGAGAUGAACAGAGAUAAUCCUUUUAAAACAUUUUUAUUGAGUGCUCUGUACCACGCCUGUAGUAGCUUCAUCUCUAUGCAAAUCUACAUCGCUAAAUUUCUGUGUGAUUAAGCUUUUCAACAAGUGUGUAUUGAAAGAAGGAAGGCAUAAAUAGAGAGGUACAUUUUAAGAUUGGCACAGAUUUAAUUUUAUAAAAUAACUAGGUCGGGGUGCCUGGAUGGCUCAGUCAGUUAAAUGUCUCACUCUUUAUCUCUACUAGGUCAUGAUCUCACAGUUCAUGGGUUUGAGCCCCACAAAGCCUGCUUGGGAUUCUCUCUUUCUUCCUCUCUCUCUGCCCCUCUCCUGCCUGUGCUCUCUCUCUAAAUAAAUAAACUUAAACAAAUAAAUAACUAGGUCAUUCUAAACUUUUCUAUAGGUCUUCUUGGAAUGCAACAUUUGGAGUCCCUCUUACAUCUUCUUGCCUCUAGAACAAAGCUGAACUUGUUGAUCCAUCCCCGUGAAGUGAAGCUUGAAAAGAAUUCUCUCCAUGUUCCCAAAUCCCUUUUUAAGUCAAAGUGCCUCCAAAUUGCCUCUCCUUGUAGACCUUCUGUGACCCACAGUAUACUGGAGAAAAGCAGAAUCUCAGUCCCCAUCCCAGAAAUAGCGCUUGCAUUUUCAUGUGGUUCUCAUACGUGUUAGAGUUUGAGAAGCACGGAUUUAGAGCUCCAGGCUUGGCUCACACUUGACCCCGGUCCUCCUCGCUGAACAACAGAGGUAAGGAGACUAGAACAGCGGUAAUAGUUAUGUUAGGGACAGGAUCUCUACCCAAGGAUCCACUCAGACACUUUUCACUAUCCUCAAGCCCUGCCUGCACAGGAAGCCGGCCACUAAAGAUAGACUGCCUGUGGGAGACAUAGGGACAUAAGGGACCUCUGCUAGCUGUGCAGCAGGGUGAAAAAGGGUGGAACAGGAAAAGGAGGAAGGCAAGUUCCUGGAUUCCAAAAACCACAGUUUGUCUAGGUGCUACUUUCUCCCUUAUUUAGCACAUAACUUUGUCAUAUGACAUCCCUUUGCUGACCUCUUUUCCUUUUGCAUUUUACCCCGCAUUCAAAAGUCACCAUCUAAAACUUUUCUCCAUGGGUUAGAAACUUUAAGUUGUCAGGGACUGAAUGUGCCC
Molecule: long non-coding RNA, 9045 nt
Filed under: Lynx pardinus (Iberian lynx)
Lineage: Eukaryota; Metazoa; Chordata; Mammalia; Carnivora; Felidae
Source: RNAcentral